GGGCUCACACAAGCGGUGGAGCAUGUGGCUUAAUUCGAGGCAACGCGAAGAACCUUAUCCUGGGUUUGACAUGUACGGAUGGCUCGCCUGAAAGGGAUGAGUCUGCCUUCGGGUGAAACGUACACAGGUGCUGCAUGGUUGUCGUCAGCUCGUGCCGUGAGGUGUCAGGUUAAGUCCUAUAACGAGCGCAACCCCUGUCGUUAGUUGCCAUCAAGUAAUGUUGGGUACUCUAGCGAGACUGCCGGUGCAAACCGAGAGGAAGGUGGGGAUGACGUCAAAUCAUCACGGCCCUUACGUCCUGGGCUACACACGUGCUACAAUGGCCGGUACAGAGAGCAGCCACUACGCGAGUAGGAGCGAAUCUUCAAAACCGGUCUCAGUUCGGAUCGCAGUCUGCAACUCGACUGCGUGAAGCUGGAAUCGCUAGUAA
RNAcentral lists this ribosomal RNA (430 nucleotides) under uncultured bacterium. RNAcentral describes it as "bacterial SSU rRNA". It matches the Rfam family "Bacterial small subunit ribosomal RNA", at positions 917 to 1341 of the family's 1533-position model. The record is from RNAcentral.